AUGGUGGCUACCUUUGGUUGUCUAGUCCCUGAGGAAAGUAUGCAGUCAGUACUUGCUCCAUCCCAGGCACCAGACAGCCACACCCCUAGCCAGAGCAAGCCAGGGUGAGAACCUGGCUGCCGUCUUCGCCCCCACUUCCGUUUUCCAUUAUAUUCCCAGUGUGAUCCCUAGUGCUGUCGACCUAUAGAAGCUACACUCACCUAGGAGAAGGGCUUCUGGGUAUAGCUGUGGGGGAUUAACUGGUUGGCGAAGACCUGCUGGCUGGGAUGCUGAACUAUACAGAGAAGGCAGGUGAGCAGCCCGGGCCGUUCGUGGCUUCCUCCGGACUGCAGCGGUGAUAAAGCCAGCUGUUUCCGGCUCCAGCUGCCUCCACCUCUCACCCUGACCCUCCACCUCCCACGGUACCCUGAACUGUGAGCUAAAAUAAAUUCUUUCUCCC
This 439-nucleotide long non-coding RNA is filed under the name Cricetulus griseus (Chinese hamster). Its description in RNAcentral is "lncRNA (ENSCGRG00000025505.1)". Lineage: Eukaryota; Metazoa; Chordata; Mammalia; Rodentia; Cricetidae. The record is from RNAcentral.